Molecule: ribosomal RNA, 140 nt
Filed under: uncultured eukaryote
Lineage: Eukaryota
Description: partial 18S ribosomal RNA
Rfam family: Eukaryotic small subunit ribosomal RNA
Source: RNAcentral
UGGUGGAGUGAUUUGUCUGGUUAAUUCUGUUAACGAACGAGACCUCGACCUGCUAAAUAGUACAACGUAAGUCUUACUUAUGUAUGCACUUCUUAGAGGGACUAUCGGUUUCUAGCCGAAGGAAGUUCGAGGCAAUAACA